AUUGAACGCUGGCGGCAUGCCUUACACAUGCAAGUCGAACGGCAGCACGGGUGCUUGCACCUGGUGGCGAGUGGCGAACGGGUGAGUAAUACAUCGGAACGUACCUUAUCGUGGGGGAUAACGCAGCGAAAGUUGCGCUAAUACCGCAUACGCCCUGAGGGGGAAAGCGGGGGACCGUAAGGCCUCGCGCGAUUAGAGCGGCCGAUGUCUGAUUAGCUUGUUGGUGAGGUAAAAGCUCACCAAGGCGAUGAUCAGUAGCUGGUCUGAGAGGACGGUCAGCCACACUGGGACUGAGACACGGCCCAGACUCCUACGGGAGGCAGCAGUGGAGAAUUUUGGACAGUGGGGGCAACCCUGAUCCAGCAAUGCCGCGUGAGUGAAGAAGGCCUUCGGGUUGUAAAGCUCUUUUGUCAGGGAAGAAACAGCAGCUCUAACACAGUCUGCGAAUGACGGUACCUGAAGAAUAAGCACCGGCUAACUACGUGCCAGCCGCCGCAGUAA
RNAcentral lists this ribosomal RNA (501 nucleotides) under uncultured bacterium. Its description in RNAcentral is "partial 16S ribosomal RNA". It matches the Rfam family "Bacterial small subunit ribosomal RNA", at positions 30 to 523 of the family's 1533-position model. The record is from RNAcentral.